CGAGACCUCAGGUCAGAC
RNAcentral lists this ribosomal RNA (18 nucleotides) under Muellera campestris. Its description in RNAcentral is "partial 26S large subunit ribosomal RNA". Lineage: Eukaryota; Viridiplantae; Streptophyta; Magnoliopsida; Fabales; Fabaceae. The record is from RNAcentral.